CUGAUCAAUGAUCCCAAUUGCCUAGUUUUUAAACAUGUAUGAGAGUUUAGGCUUUGAAUUUUGGUUGUCUUUGAAUGAUUCAAACCGUUUAUACGAUGUUUCUCACCUUGUAUGGUGGAUAGAAGACAAGCAAAAUCUUCACCUAGGAACAUUUGAAGAGACUUUUAGGUCAUCCUGCAUUAGGGAUGUCAAUGGGUGCACAGGUCCGAGUACCUUAUACCCUCAUUAUAAAUGACAUGCCAACACAACAUUUUUGCUUGUUUGGGUUUCGGAAUAAGGUUAAAUAUCUGUGAAGCAUUAUUGACAAUCCAUGGCCACUCGUUGGACGUGUUUGCGGUGGACGGAUGGCCUUUUGAGUGUUGUGCUACCGAAGAACAUGAAGACGCGAGGAUCAUCAUGCAGCAGAGACAAACAAGAAACAGAGACAGAUAUUCCAUUCUGCUGAGUGUUUGUGGCCGUGUGAUAACCCAAAACUACAUUAUGUACCCCAAAUCAUAUCCAUUGCACAUCACUUGGGAUCUGAGACAAAUGAUAUUAUUUGGUAGAAAGCAUCCUUCCUACCUACAUCUCUAGUUUCUACGUAUAACCAAACAUAUCCUUAAUGUCUUUCUAUUUAAAUGGAUACCUCAUUUUGUGCUCUAUGAGCCAAUAUUUUAUGUAAUGAUAUGCUAAGUGUUUAUGUGUCUAUUUAUAUGUAUAUUUAAUGGAGGAGACAUGGUGGGGAUUGUUUUUUUC
This is a long non-coding RNA of Magnolia sinica, 735 nucleotides long. RefSeq lists it as uncharacterized. The record is from RefSeq and is a predicted model, not a curated record. NCBI's taxonomy places the organism in Eukaryota, Viridiplantae, Streptophyta, Magnoliopsida, Magnoliales, Magnoliaceae. The transcript has 3 exons.